GAACAAGGUCUCCGUUGGUGAACCAGCGGAGGGAUCAUUACUGAGUACUACACUCUCUACCCUUUGUGAACUAUUAUACCUGUUGCUUCGGCGGCGCCCGCAAGGGUGCCCGCCGGUCUCAUCAGAAUCUCUGUUUUCGAACCCGACGAUACUUCUGAGUGUUCUUAGCGAACUGUCAAAACUUUUAACAACGGAUCUCUUGGCUCCAGCAUCGAUGAAGAACGCAGCGAAACGCGAUAUGUAAUGUGAAUUGCAGAAUUCAGUGAAUCAUCGAAUCUUUGAACGCACAUGGCGCCUUCCAGUAUCCUGGGAGGCAUGCCUGUCCGAGCGUCGUUUCAACCCUCGAGCCCCUGUGGCCCGGCGUUGGGGAUCUGCCACGGCAGGCCCCUAAAACCAGUGGCGGACCCGAAGGGCCCUCUCCUUUGCGCAGUAGCAUUCGCCUCGCAUCGGGAGUCCUCGGCGUCCUGCCUCUAAACCCCCCACAAGCCCGCUUCGGCGGCACCAAGGUUGACCUCGGAUCAGGUAGGAAUACCCGCUGAACUUAAGC
RNAcentral lists this unclassified non-coding RNA (547 nucleotides) under Plectosphaerella plurivora. Its description in RNAcentral is "sequence contains 18S rRNA gene, ITS1, 5.8S rRNA gene, ITS2". The stretch from base 180 to 333 matches the Rfam family "5.8S ribosomal RNA". Lineage: Eukaryota; Fungi; Ascomycota; Sordariomycetes; Glomerellales; Plectosphaerellaceae. The record is from RNAcentral.